GCUACUUCACAGUGACAAAAUGAAGGCGGGGGGAUUUCUGGAUCGUUUAUGAACUCAGAAAGCAGAGGGAGGAAGAUUAGAUAAAAGCACAAGAUCUCUAGGGGAGAAGGACCAGCGAGUAUCCAUCAGGACGAUUUGCUGCUGAGCAGGAUGCAGUGGGUUCGGGUUUUUUAUGACGGCACCCUCCUCUUUCCGGAUGUUCUCCUUCAUCUUCUGUGGGGUGACAGAACUUGCACUGGACUGCAGCUCAUGCCUCUGCUGGCCCAGUCCCACCUAUGAUUACAAAGGACUUCAAUACCCAUAGGCCUUCACUGGUCAUGCUGAUUCCAUUUACAAAAAUGCUUUCUUCACGUGAGGAAGACCAGCGAGUCCAGCUUUUGACGCCCAUUGAUGCGGAUGAGCUGAAGCAGGCUCGAGUCGGGGGUCACGGUCCAGCGGCGGCCUUCCUGUCGGGACUGAGCACGAGGCAAAAUCUCAAUGAAACCGUUUACAUUACGGGCACUUUGUGUUAACUGUGCUUUAAGAUAAUGUCUUCCUGGGAGCCCCUCUUAGUACAUGGAGGAAGUUAACAGCCAGUUGAGUUAAUGAAGGCAAAAUCACCCAGGCGCCACUAAUUAGAGGCAUCUAAUGAGGUUUGACCUGCUACCGCUUGUGCAUUAACUUGUUCAGGAUUACCGAGACGCAGUUUGUGGGUGAAGGGCAAAUCAGGUUUUCACCACCUGAAAAAUGUAAUUUUUCCCAAAUUAAAACCUUUAUAGGUAAUUUUAGUGUCUACAGUGCAUCAGACCUUGUUCAUUUCUAUUUGUUUUUUUUUUUUUUUUUUUUUUGCAUUUAUGAUUGGUAGUAAUAUAAAUUGCAACUGUGCCGCCUGACUUUUCCGACUCAUUUAAAAUUAAACAAGCAUCUACUACACCCAGACAAAUGUUUGUCCUUCAUAUCAAGUUUAUAUAUGCAAUUUUAAAAAAAGUUUUAUCAUGGGUUUUACCAAUGACAUGGAGGAGUUUUAUUUGUCAGUAUUUGAGAUUUUGAGAUGAACUAACCUUCCCAUGGCACCUUGAACUCGGGGUAUUUUUAUGAUGUAACAUCCUGUCCACUGUUUUCUGAAAUUACUUCAAAAUAAAAGCCCUAUUUUCCCCAGUUGUCCCACCUAACAAAAGGCUUUUCUGUUAUCUUAAUGGUUCUAAAUCCAUUAACUUUUUAGGAGUUUGACAGUUUCAACCAUAGGAUUACGUCUAAUUAAUUUAAUAUUUAAAUUACUUUACCAAAUUAAAUGGUUUUUUUGCUGUACACAAAUGAUCGCACCACUUGACAUAUCGUCAAAACUGUAUAUUAUUUGAAUGUAUUGAAAAUAUAUUCACAUUAAAGAUGUUUCAAACAAUAAUUUUAGGCAUGUCACAGAAUGUAUCUGGUAAAUGAUUUUUUAAAAACUAGGACUCAAAAUAUUCAUGUUCAUUCCUCUGCAUGCUGUACUGCGUCAUUAUUGCAGUGUAUUUUCUGCAUGAAGUACUGUGUGACUGUUGUGGUGUACUUUAUUCAAGCGGUACUGCAUUACUGUGGCAGUGUGCUUUCUUUCUGUGUAGGGCACUGCAUGACUGUCUCAGUGUACUUUUGUCUGUGUAGGGCACUGCAUGACUGUCUCAGUGUGCUUUUGUCUGUGUAGGGCACUGCAUGACUGUCUCAGUGUGCUUUUGUCUGUGUAGGGCACUGUGUGACUGUUGCAGUGUGCUGACCAUUCACUCUGCAGCCAGUCAUCAUGAUGGGUUUCAUCACCUAUUAGAGGUCAGAGUUUAAGUCUCUGCUUUUUUCCCUCUGGAAACCCUACUUUUACAGUUGAUCUUCCUCAGAGGAUCUUUGUUUGCUACCAUAAUAAUGUUUACAAAACCCACAUUUUCCCACCACUACCAUGAUCACAUAAUUAAUGCUUCCUUAAUCUGGGGCCUUUUUGUUUAGUAAGAUGCUUAAGAAAGCCCUUACUCGUUGGAAAUGGACCACCUUUUUCUGCGGCCGGGGUCACACGAGUGAGGAUCUUGAGGCUCAUGCUUCGUGUCUAUCGCCAGUGGAAACCCCGCGUCUGCUCUCCAUGUUGCUCGCUCCCUGGAGGUAAGCUCUGCAUGAGAAUGGCUCCGGUCGGUGGAGCCUUCUGUGGGUGUCUUACCGAAAUCCUGCAAUGGAAAAAAGGCUCUGUUUUGUUUGCCUGCUGACUCAGACGAAUGGCAUGCAGUCCUUACGUAGGCAGGCCACCGGGGAGAUGUGCACGACGAUCACGCAGAAGGACUUAAAAGCGUCUUUCUGCGGCUCGAUGCCGCUUCCCACGUUUGGGAGACUCCAAGUGACGCCUCUCGCUGUGUCAUCAAAGGGGUACGGACGGGGAAAAGGACACAGAGAGCUCGGGGGUGAAGAAGGCAGUGUGUCUGCUUUCUCUGGGACCGACUCUGUGUCCCUGUGACUCUGAGACUGGUAUUAGCAUCGGGGAAUGGGACACUGAGUUUUAGCUCUGAUCACAUCUACUCAACUGGGCUUCACUGCACAUAUUGGCACGUAAUAAGACUCCCCCAGAACCACGGUGUGGCAUACAGGUUGUAGGUAAAGUCACAAUGGGA
Molecule: long non-coding RNA, 2600 nt
Organism: Paramormyrops kingsleyae
Lineage: Eukaryota; Metazoa; Chordata; Actinopteri; Osteoglossiformes; Mormyridae
Source: RefSeq, a predicted model, not a curated record